GUGAUUGAAACCGCGCGUCGAUCAGCCUAUAUAUCGGAUGUCCUUCGGGACUAUGGACAUAAACGCGCUCGUCAUAAGCGGAUCGGACCCGGGGGCGGUACCCGGCGGCUCCACCAUAUAUCCUUCAUUUGAGGAUCAUGGGGCCGAAACAGGAUCGACGAACGUCUAAAGGGGUUAGCUUUGUCUCGGCGGGGUACCACCGUUAUCGGUCCGACAAGUACAAUUGCAAAUGACAAUCGUGCUCCGGUUGCAGUUGCUGCGUAAGCAGUAGCAAGACCGAAACUUAAGCCCUUGCGCCUAGCCGCGUAAGGCGGGGUUCGCAGGCACCUGGCAACAGAAGCCUGCACU
This 348-nucleotide transfer-messenger RNA is filed under the name Aestuariivita sp. It matches the Rfam family "Alphaproteobacteria transfer-messenger RNA". Rfam says of the family: Bacterial tmRNA, also known as 10Sa RNA or SsrA, is named for its dual tRNA and mRNA-like properties. Its role is to liberate the mRNA from a stalled ribosome. The record is from RNAcentral. Lineage: Bacteria; Pseudomonadati; Pseudomonadota; Alphaproteobacteria; Rhodobacterales; Paracoccaceae.